Molecule: ribosomal RNA, 465 nt
Filed under: uncultured bacterium
Lineage: Bacteria
Description: partial 16S ribosomal RNA
Rfam family: Bacterial small subunit ribosomal RNA
Source: RNAcentral
GACGAACGCUGGCGGCGUGCUUAACACAUGCAAGUCGAACGGAAAGGCCCUGCUUGCAGGGUACCCGAGUGGCGAACGGGUGAGUAACACGUGGGUGAUCUGCCCUGCACUUCGGGAUAAGCCUGGGUAACUGGGUCUAAUACCGGACAGGAGCCAUUUCUCGUGUGAUUGUUGGAGAGUUUUUUCGGUGUAGGAUGAGGUUGCGGCCCAUCAGCUUGUUGGUGGUGUAAUGGCCUACCAAGGCGGCGACGGGUAGCCGGCGCGAGAGGGUGGACGGGCACAUUGAGACUGGGAUACGGCCCAGACCCCUACGGGAGGCAGCAGUGGGGAAUGGUGAACAAUGGGCGCAAGCCUGAUGCAGCGACGCCGCGUGGGGGAUGACGGCCUUCGGGUUGUAAACUCCUUUCGCUAUGGACGAAGCAUUUUGUGACGGUACCUGGAUAAGAAGCACCGGCUAACUACGUG